GAUGGCGUUGGUGGAGGAGAUGGCAUUGGUGUUUGUCGAAUUUCAUCACUGGAGUCAAAUUCAGGCAUUUCUGGUUCGGGUUCAGGAGUCAUGG
RNAcentral lists this transfer RNA (94 nucleotides) under Clostridium ljungdahlii DSM 13528. RNAcentral describes it as "tRNA-Asp". The record is from RNAcentral. Lineage: Bacteria; Bacillati; Bacillota; Clostridia; Eubacteriales; Clostridiaceae.